RNAcentral lists this ribosomal RNA (426 nucleotides) under uncultured bacterium. RNAcentral's name for it is "bacterial SSU rRNA". It matches the Rfam family "Bacterial small subunit ribosomal RNA", at positions 356 to 774 of the family's 1533-position model. The record is from RNAcentral.
GGGGAAUUUUGGACAAUGGGCGCAAGCCUGAUCCAGCAAUGCCGCGUGCAGGAUGAAGGCCUUCGGGUUGUAAACUGCUUUUGUACGGAGCGAAAAGGUCUGCCCUAAUACGGUGUGCUCAUGACGGUACCGUAAGAAUAAGCACCGGCUAACUACGUGCCAGCAGCCGCGGUAAUACGCAGGGUGCGAGCGGUAAUCGGAAUUACUGGGCGUAAAGCGUGCGCAGGCGGUUAUAUAAGACAGAUGUGAAAUCCCCGGGCUCAACCUAGGACCUGCAUUUGUGACUGUAUAGCUAGAGUACGGUAGAGGGAGAUGGAAUUCCGCAUGUAGCAAUGAAAUGCGUAGAUAUGCGGAGGAACACCGAUAGCGAGGGCAAUCCCCUGGACCUGUACUGACGCUCAUGCACGAAAGCGUGGGGAGCAAACA